CAGAGACCUCAAGCGUUAUCCGGAUUUAUUGGGCGUAAAGCGCAGGUAAGCGGCCAUGUUAGUCAGAUGUCAAAGGCCCGGGCUCAACCCGGGAAAGGCAUUUGAAACGGCAUGGCUCGAGAGUGUGAGAGAUCGGUGGAAUUCAUGGUGUAGUAGUGAAAUGCAUUGAUAUCAUGAGGAACACCCAAGGCGAAGGCAACCGAUUGGCACAUUUCUGACGCCGAGCUGCGAAAGCGUGGGUAGCGAAUGGGAUUAGAUACCCCAGUAGUCCACGCCCUAAACGAUGUCUACUAGGUCGUGGGGAGAAUCGACCCUCUCUGUGCCGAAGCUAACGCAUUAAGUAGACCGCCUGGGAAGUACGAGCGCAAGCUUA
This 373-nucleotide ribosomal RNA is filed under the name uncultured organism. Its description in RNAcentral is "bacterial SSU rRNA". It matches the Rfam family "Bacterial small subunit ribosomal RNA", at positions 526 to 896 of the family's 1533-position model. The record is from RNAcentral.